This is an RNA transcript of Lutra lutra (Eurasian river otter), 1337 nucleotides long. It is a transcript of the gene named BCL2 like 10, with no coding region annotated. The record is from RefSeq and is a predicted model, not a curated record. Lineage: Eukaryota; Metazoa; Chordata; Mammalia; Carnivora; Mustelidae. The transcript is spliced from 4 exons.
AUGGCGGACGCGUUGAGGGAGCGCACGGCGCAGCUGCUGACCGACUACCUGGAGUACUGCGCCCGCGGCCCUGGCACCCCCGCGCGGUCGCCCUCUACGCGCGAGGCCGCGGUGCUGCGCUCGGUGGCCGCCGACGUGCGGCAGCGUCACGAGCGCUUCUUGUCGGAUUACCGCGGCUACCGCGGCAACCGCGUCGAGCUGGUGGCUCAGGUGGAGCGGGAGAUACUCGCCCACCCCCAAGCACUAAGCUGGGGCCGUGUGGUGGCGCUCUUGACCUUCGCGGGAACGCUGCUGGAGCGCCCGCCGUCGGGGGCCUGCUCGAACUUGGGGCCGGACCAGGAACUGGAGCUGGGGGAGUGGGAGGCCAACGUUCGCCAGGACUGCCGGCGUCUGGUGGACUUCCUCUGCCGUCGGCUCACAGGGCAGCACCGCGCUUGGCUGGAGGCGCACGGCGGCUGGGACGGCUUUUGUCUCUUCUUCACACCCGUGCUGCUGUCUUCCUGGAAAAGACUGCUGGUCCAAGCUCUUCUGUCAUGCUUUACGGCAGUGAUCUUAAUCUACUUCUGGAAAAGAUUACCGACACCGUUUGAAAGACUGGUUACAUUACCAAGGCUUUGACUGGAAUGUCUUACUUGAGAGAGAAAUGCAUCACCUCAGAUGUGACCAGACCGCUUUAAGGAAUUAAGAUUGACCUUACAGAGCCAAGGGAGCCUCUUGGAACUGUCGGCCUGAUUCCUUGCUUGCAGAGUUCCCAGCGACCUUUCCAGAAACGUGGAAGCAGUUCCUGACUCCUUCACCGAGCCAGAACAUGAUCCUUAGUACUCAGAACAAGUCCACCCCCACGCGCCAUCUGGACUCUGCAGCAGUGGCCCUCCGUAGGGAUGAUUUUCGUCCCAUAGGUAGGGAUAGCUCUACAACCCCAUUCACAUGAAGUUACAGAAGAUGAGCCCUCCCUCCUUCAGCAGCCUUAAAGAUCUGAGGACCAAAAAAUAGCCAGACGGGAAAUGAGGGAUAGAAGAAAAAAAAAACAACAACUCAUCUUUAACCCAGAACACCCAGCAUGGAACCCAGUGCAGGGCUCAAACUCACAACCCUGAGAUCAAGACCUGGAUGUUCAACCAGCUUAGCCACGCAGGCACCUCAGCUGGCUGCUGUGUUCUUGAAUGGUCUCAUGCCUACCUGUAUGUCUCACUGAGAGUUAGUAUUUGAGCUGAAUGACAAACUACCAAGAUUUCUCUCUUGCUUUUCAAAUACAAUUUGAAGAAGGGCAACUGCCUUCAGCGUGGGUCAUGAUUCCAGGGCCCUGGGGUUGAGGCCCACAUCAGGCUCCCUGCGAG